UUGCAACCCCAGCCCACCGAUCAUUUGGAGGUCACAAAAUCGAGCCUCAAACAUGGUAUAUUCAUUCUAUCUCUCAAAUACCCAAACUGAUAUAGGAAGCUCCCCUCUCUACAUCGUCUUGCCCUCUCAAAACACUACAACGUCUCUCUGUUUAGCCCCUUUUGCAGUCUAGCAUACCAUAAAUUCUCUCUCGAAAGCCCACAUAUCCGAAGCCUUGUUGCCCUGUUGCAACCCUAACCCACCGAUCAUUUGGAGGUC
RNAcentral lists this long non-coding RNA (258 nucleotides) under Amborella trichopoda. RNAcentral's name for it is "long non-coding RNA (ATRI_LNC003487)". The record is from RNAcentral. Lineage: Eukaryota; Viridiplantae; Streptophyta; Magnoliopsida; Amborellales; Amborellaceae.